GCACAAUGAUGUGUGAAUUUCUUCACCUGAAAUACCAUGUGGAGCAAAAACAUACGAGCUUUUUAAUUCUGAGUGUU
Small nucleolar RNA from Saccostrea cuccullata (small rock oyster), 77 nucleotides. The record is from RefSeq and is a predicted model, not a curated record. Lineage: Eukaryota; Metazoa; Mollusca; Bivalvia; Ostreida; Ostreidae.